RNAcentral lists this ribosomal RNA (253 nucleotides) under uncultured bacterium. Its description in RNAcentral is "partial 16S ribosomal RNA". It matches the Rfam family "Bacterial small subunit ribosomal RNA", at positions 524 to 776 of the family's 1533-position model. The record is from RNAcentral.
GACGGAGGGCGCAAGCGUUGUUCGGAAUUACUGGGCGUAAAGCGCGCGCAGGCGGGAAGGUAAGUCUGGAGUGAAAUUCCGGGGCUCAACUCCGGAGCUGCUUUGGAUACUGUCUUUCUAGGGACCGGUAGAGGCCGGUGGAAUUCCCGGUGUAGCGGUGAAAUGCGUAGAUAUUGGGAGGAACACCAGUGGCGAAGGCGGCUCACUGGACCGGUACUGACGCUGAUGCGCGAAAGCGUGGGGAGCAAACGGG